This is a long non-coding RNA of Xenia sp. Carnegie-2017, 535 nucleotides long. RefSeq lists it as uncharacterized. The transcript has 2 exons. Lineage: Eukaryota; Metazoa; Cnidaria; Anthozoa; Malacalcyonacea; Xeniidae. The record is from RefSeq and is a predicted model, not a curated record.
CAAAGGCAGAAGGAUGGUAAGGAAUGUGCUAUCCAAAAUGAUGAAAUGGAGACGGGCUGGUGCAUCCGGAAUGAUGUAUGACUUUGAAAUAUACACUGGAAAGCCAAUGAAACUGGAAGGAGAUCUUGGUAUCUCUAGCAAUAUUGUACUCAGACUUACCAAAAAUUUGGCAGAUCACAAAGAUUACAAGAUGUAUUUCGAAAACUGGUUUGCAUCAGUGCAGUUGGUAGAAAUUUUAAAAGAAAGAGGCAUAUGGGCAUAAAAUUGUUAUAGUUGUAAACAUUUCUUACUUGUAGUAUUGCUAUUUUGUACAUAUUUUUGUCUUUUACUUGGAGUAAAUGGGAGCCUCACUGAUCAAUUGUAUUUUUAGUUAAUUUUAUGGAUUUUAAUACAGGUAAAAUAAUUAUAACACUUCAAUUUCAAUCAAUAAACAUGAGUAUUAAGUAUAGAGCUAUGUCACUAUACUCCCAAUGUUGCCAUUUGGCAACAAAAUUUUAAUUCCAUGAAAAUAUAAAUUUUUAGACUAGCAAUGAAA